Cricetulus griseus (Chinese hamster) is the source of this 145-nucleotide small nucleolar RNA. The record is from Ensembl. Lineage: Eukaryota; Metazoa; Chordata; Mammalia; Rodentia; Cricetidae.
CUUCGGUGAUGACACGAUGACGAGUCAGAAAGGUCAUGCCUUGCUCUUGGUCCUUGUCAGUGCCACGUUCUGUGGUGCUGUACAUGGUUCCUUUGGCAAAAGUGUCCUGCUCAUUGAUUGAUUUAGAGGCAUUUGUCUGAGAAGG